Non-coding RNA from Notechis scutatus (mainland tiger snake), 125 nucleotides. Lineage: Eukaryota; Metazoa; Chordata; Lepidosauria; Squamata; Elapidae. The record is from RefSeq and is a predicted model, not a curated record.
AUGGUUGUUAAGUGAAUCUGGCUUCCCCAUUGACUUUGCUUGCCAGAAGGUCCCAAAAAGAGUUCACAUGACCUUGUGACACUUCAACCAUCAUAAAUGCAUCCCAGUUGCCAAGAAUCUGAAUU